Molecule: ribosomal RNA, 1306 nt
Filed under: uncultured bacterium
Lineage: Bacteria
Description: bacterial SSU rRNA
Rfam family: Bacterial small subunit ribosomal RNA
Source: RNAcentral
GAACGAACGCUGGCGGCAGGCUUAACACAUGCAAGUCGAACGGUUGUAGCAAUACAGCAGUGGCAGACGGGUGAGUAACACGUGGGAACCUUCCUAGGGGUACGGAACAACUCAGGGAAACUUGAGCUAAUACCGUAUACGUCCGUGAGGAGAAAGAUUUAUCGCCCUUAGACGGGCCCGCGUAGGAUUAGGUAGUUGGUGAGGUAACGGCUCACCAAGCCUACGAUCCUUAGCUGAUCUGAGAGGAUGAUCAGCCACACUGGGACUGAGACACGGCCCAGACUCCUACGGGAGGCAGCAGUGGGGAAUCUUGGACAAUGGGCGCAAGCCUGAUCCAGCCAUGCCGCGUGAGUGAAGAAGGCCUUCGGGUUGUAAAGCUCUUUUACCAGGGACGAUAAUGACGGUACCUGGAGAAUAAGCCCCGGCAAACUUCGUGCCAGCAGCCGCGGUAAUACGAAGGGGGCUAGCGUUGUUCGGAAUUACUGGGCGUAAAGCGCACGUAGGCGGAUUGUUAAGUCAGAGGUGAAAUCCCACAGCUCAACUGUGGAACUGCCUUUGAUACUGUCAGUCUAGAGUAUAGUUGAAGUUGGCGGAAUGUGUCAUGUAGCGGUGAAAUGCUUAGAUAUGACACAGAACACCGAUCGCGAAGGCAGCUAGCUAAGCUAUAACUGACGCUCAUGCACGAAAGCGUGGGGAUCAAACAGGAUUAGAUACCCUGGUAGUCCACGCUGUAAACGAUGAUUACUCGAUGUUGGCGAUACACAGUCAGCGUCUGAGCGAAAGCAAUAAGUAAUCCACCUGGGGAGUACGAUCGCAAGAUUGAAACUCAAAGGAAUUGACGGGGGCCCGCACAAGCGGAGGAGCAUGUGGUUUAAUUCGAUGAUACGCGAGGAACCUUACCUGGGCUCGAACGUAAGAUGACUGUAGGUGAAAGCUUACAUCUCUUCGGAGCAUUUUACGAGGUGCUGCAUGGUUGUCGUCAGCUCGUGCCGUGAGGUGUCGGGUUAAGUCCCAUAACGAGCGCAACCCCUACCUUUAGUUGCCAUCAGGUCAUGCUGGGGACUCUAAAGGAACUGCCUACGCAAGUAGUGAGGAAGGCGGGGAUGACGUCAAAUCAGCACGGCCCUUACGUCCAGGGCUACACACGUGCUACAAUGGCCGAUACAGAGGGCAGCUACCUGGUGACAGGAUGCAAAUCUCCAAAGUCGGUCUCAGUUCGGAUCGGAGUCUGCAACCCGACUCCGUGAAGUUGGAUUCGCUAGUAAUCGCGCAUCAGCCAUGGCGCGGUGAAUACGUUCCCGGGCCU